This 253-nucleotide ribosomal RNA is filed under the name uncultured bacterium. RNAcentral's name for it is "partial 16S ribosomal RNA". It matches the Rfam family "Bacterial small subunit ribosomal RNA", at positions 524 to 776 of the family's 1533-position model. The record is from RNAcentral.
UACGGAGGGGGCUAGCGUUGUUCGGAAUUACUGGGCGUAAAGGGCGCGUAGGCGGUUCGCUAAGUUGAAUGUGAAAACUCUGGGCUUAACCCAGAGCCUGCAUUCAAUACUGGCGGGCUAGAGUUCUGGAGGGGAUAGCGGAAUUCCUGGUGUAGCGGUGAAAUGCGUAGAUAUCAGGAGGAACACCGGUGGCGAAGGCGGCUAUCUGGACAGAGUCUGACGCUGAGGCGCGAAAGCUAGGGGAGCAAACAGG